UAUCAAUACUGGGAAGACAGAAACAGGCUCAGAAAUUAAGAGAAGGAGAGAGAGAGACAGAGACAGAGACAGAGACAGAGAGAAAAAAGGACAGAGAGAGAGAGAGAGAGAGACAUGGACCGAGAGUGCAUCACACGAGGGGUCAGGAGGAGAUGAAUAGAUCUACCCCACCUACCCAACGGACCCAUGGACCUUUUUGACCCCUCACCCCUGCAGCGAUUGGCUCUCCUGGUGUUGUGGCAGGGCCUGGCGUUGGGACUGAGCAGUUCUGCCUUGUGGUACCAAGUGGAGAGGAGAGACAGAGACAGGGCUGUGACCUGGAUCCAGGCCAGGCGGUUCUGUCAGAGGCGCUGUACCCCCUGAGCGGCUAAAGGCGGAGUCUGAAGGGACUGAUCAUGUGACUGUGCAUUGGGACACGCCCCCUCUGAUGCAGACAGCUGAUCAUAGCUACAGAAUUACCACAUGUAGCUUCCAGCCUCACCCUCAUCUUUCUCUCCUCCACCCUUCUCUCCCUCCUUGCCACACCCCUCCUCUUUUCCUCUGUCCUUUCCCCCACCCCCCUCAUCCCACCACCCCAUGUUGCGUCCUCCACCUCCCCUACUCCAACAGUUCCACCUCCCACUCCACCCGGAUCUCUGGCCUAACCCCGGGAAUCCAGUACACCAUCAGCGUUGCCACAGUGAUCACGCGCCCAGAUCCUGUCACCGGUGACAACAUCACCACCGACAGUGACCCAGUCACGGUGACCGUCACAACAAUAGGGGGCGGUGGUGGGCAGCAGGUGGUUGCCAUGGUACUGAGUGUGGUCAAGUUCAUCUAUCUGGCUGUCUUACUCUGCUUACUUUACCUCAUCCUGAAGAGAAAUGCUGUCCAGGCUCCUGAACUUGAUCUGGAAUCAGUAGAACUCCCUACUGAAGAAGAAUACAUUUUAGACAUGAUUAAAACUGGUCCUACAUCAGUUGAAUUCCCCGAUGAAGAAUGCAUUGUUGAGCUGCCACCUGAAGAAUAAAGCAUUGUCUGACUAGAACUGGUUCUAGAUCAGUGGUGCCCCCCCCUGGAGAAUGCAUUGUUGAGCUGCCACCUGAUUACAACUGGUUGUAGAUCAGAAAACAGCAGCUCUACCUGCCAAAUCUACCAGCUUUUCUUGAUAGUGUAAAGAUUAAUGGAGAAUAUAAAUACAAGCUGCAGACAGUAUGCGUUAUUAGUCUUGAUACAUACUUAUAAACAAAAUAGUUUUAUCUUAACAAGAUAUACCUGUUUAACUAUAAGUUUUUAGAAAAGUAUUGAUACACACUUAAGUGCAAAGUAGAUUUGUUAUUCUCAACAAGGAAUUAAUAAGCAUUGAGAAUUAGUUAAGCUGCCUCUUUAAUAAACAGGUUAGAAAAAUAGGUAUUUUGACCUCAAAACGACGUUUAGAAAAUUAUUUUAUUUAUUUAUUUGAUAUUUUACCACACAUUGUCAGUAGUCAUGAUUUUCAUGCUGGGUAUGGAAACAUGUUGCCUCCUUAUGCAUAUAGAUAGGAGAAAUGUACAUUAGUUGUAUGUCAUAAAGUAUGUAAUAUAUAUAGCCUUAGUUCACAAAUGACACCCUAUUCGCUACAUAGUGCACUACUUUAGACCAGAUCCUUAUGGCACCGUAUUCCCUACAUAGUGCACUA
This is a long non-coding RNA of Oncorhynchus tshawytscha (Chinook salmon), 1657 nucleotides long. The record is from Ensembl. Lineage: Eukaryota; Metazoa; Chordata; Actinopteri; Salmoniformes; Salmonidae.